Pseudopipra pipra is the source of this 1089-nucleotide long non-coding RNA. RefSeq lists it as uncharacterized. The record is from RefSeq and is a predicted model, not a curated record. NCBI's taxonomy places the organism in Eukaryota, Metazoa, Chordata, Aves, Passeriformes, Pipridae. The transcript is spliced from 2 exons.
UGGUGUCCUGUGCAGGGACAGCUGGCGGGAGUAUCCUGUGAGUUUUGUGCAGAGGGGAGGAAGACCUGGCAGGAGGUCUCCUGCCAAAGCUAGACAGUAUUGCACGAGGAUUGAAUGAGUAGAUGUCCAUCUGUACCUCUCCAGGAGGGCUGCUCUGCAUGGGAGGGAGAGACCGAGGAAGAGCCUGUGAAGAUGGAGCGGCUGGGAUCCCUCUGUAUAUACUUAUAUUUAGAGAUGUGUAUAGUUAUAGUUAUACCUGGGUAGUUAUAGGUAUAUAGAUAUUUACAUAUGUAGAUUGAAUAUUUGUAUAGGUAUAUUUAUAUAUUUAUCUGGUUAUUUUUAUAAGUGUAUGCAGUUGUAUAGAUGUAUAGUUAUAGUGAUGUAGUUAUAGGUAUAUGGAUAUUUAGAUAGGUGUAUUGAUAUUUGUAUAGAUAUAUUGAUAUAUUUUUUGAUAUAUGUAUAUUAUAUUUAUAUCUGUAUUUAAUUAUAUUUAUGUAUGUAUACAGUUGUAUAGCUGUAUAGGUUUAUUGAUGUAGCUAUAGGUAUGGAUAUUUAGACUGGCAUAUCAAUUUCUGUAUAUUUAUAUAUGGAUUUCCUGUGUAUAUAUUUAUGUGUUAUAUAUAGUAUACCAUAUAUAAGAUAUAUUUAUAAAAAUAUAAAUAUAAUACACAUUUAAUACUUAAUUAUAUUUUUGUCUCUAUUUUUUUAUCUGUUUAUGUAGUUAUAUUUAAAUAUGUAUGGAGUUUUAUAGUUAUAUAAUUUUAUUUAUGUACGUAUAGUUAUAGGGUUAUUUAGAUAGGUAUAUUUAUAUUUGUGAAUUUAUAUAUAUAGGCUGUACAGUUGUAAAAAUCUGUAAUAAAUUAAUUCUUUAAACUUAAAUUGAUAUUUGUAUAGUUUUAUAUCAGUAGCACAGUUGUAGCUAUUUAAUAAAUUUAAUUUUUUAACUAAGUUGAUUUUUGUGUAUUUAUGUAUCAGCAUCACGGGUGUAUCAUUUUGUAAUGUAAUUUUUAAACUUAAAGUGACUUUUGUGUAUUUAUGUCUCAGUCACAGGGGUGUAGCUAUUUGUAAUAAAUUUCAUUUUUUAACUAA